CCCCCGCCGCAAGUGGAUAAUAUUAAUAGUGUAAAAAUAUGCAAGUGUUCGGUAAACAGGAAGUUGUCGAGUGAUGAAUCUGAAAACGCAUCACACGGUAUAGCUGACUUAUAUAAAUCCUGAAACCAAAUUUCAGAAAUCCUUGUAUUGUAGUUCCUGAGAAAAAUGUGACGAAAAUUUUCAACUUGGCUGUCAUGUGUAAAAUCAUACAAGUGUUCGGUAAACAGGAAGUUGUCUAGUGAUGAAUCUGAAAACGCAUCACACGGUAUGGCUGACAUAUAUAAAUGUUGAUACCAAAUUACAGAAAGGGUGGAUGUGUAGUUCCUGAGAAAAAUGUGACGAAAGUUUCAUGGGACGGACUGACGGACGGACAGACAGAGGUAAAACAGUAUACCCCCCUUUUUUAAA
RNAcentral lists this long non-coding RNA (408 nucleotides) under Mytilus galloprovincialis (Mediterranean mussel). The record is from RNAcentral. Lineage: Eukaryota; Metazoa; Mollusca; Bivalvia; Mytilida; Mytilidae.